RNAcentral lists this microRNA precursor (97 nucleotides) under Vicugna pacos (alpaca). RNAcentral describes it as "mir-544 microRNA precursor family". It matches the Rfam family "mir-544 microRNA precursor family". RNAcentral also lists the same sequence under 1 other name. The record is from Rfam by way of RNAcentral. Lineage: Eukaryota; Metazoa; Chordata; Mammalia; Artiodactyla; Camelidae.
AUCACCUAGGGAUCUUGUUAAAAUGCUGAUUCUAAUUCAGUGGUCUGGGUUGGAACCUGAGAUUCUGCAUUUCUAACAUGCUCCCAAGUGAUGCUGA